Long non-coding RNA from Xenopus laevis (African clawed frog), 1616 nucleotides. RefSeq lists it as uncharacterized. The transcript is spliced from 3 exons. The record is from RefSeq and is a predicted model, not a curated record. Lineage: Eukaryota; Metazoa; Chordata; Amphibia; Anura; Pipidae.
UACGAACGACUGCGGACACAAUCCUCCAUGUAGAAAAGCAAGAAUGGCAUCUUUGAAUAGACCAAAUCGCUGACUUCUAUGAAUGACUGCGCCCACAGUUUUCCAUGUAGAAAAGCAAGAAUGGCAUCUUUGAAUAGCUGAAGAAGUGCACCUUUCGGAAAUAUAUGCAGUUACUGUGUGCAGGGAGCUCUGAGCUCUGGGGGUUGUGCAUGCCAUGUCGAGCACCUUACAUCAUGCCUGCUGAGUGUGGUAGGGAGAAAGGAGAACAGGAAAAGAAUGGUUGGUUGAGUAAUAAGACAAGCACAGAUUGAGGGCAGUGACCACAAAACCAUAGGCUUGUGGAUGGUACUGUGUGUGUCCUCUGCAGAUGUCUCUGGUUUUCUGCUCAUCUUUGGGACAGGCAGGAAGGAAGCAGCUGCACUGACCCUAAACCCUUUCUCCAGGAAGACUGCUAGACCCUGCUUGUGACAUUGAUAUUUUAUAAUAUCUACAUUUGUGUUGUACAGUAACAUAAAAAUCUUAAAACAUGAAAUACUCUUCUACUGGCUUUUCUGUAAAAGCACUGAAUCUGGCAUGGGGAAUAAGCUCCAUGCUGUAGAAUACAACGCCCUGGAUCCUGCUACAUCUGAAUGAAGGAAAUGUUAAGUCAGUGGAAGAUGGAGUCAUUAUUGCCUUAUUUUUUCUUUAUUCUAAUAAUAAUGCAACCUAAUUGCAAUAACAGUGCCAAGAUUCAAGCCUGAAAGCUUAGGGCAAUGCAGGGCUGUAUUUUUGUCGAGGCACUGGACCUCAGUGUGUCCUAUUGACGCAUGCGCAUCAUGAAAUUGACAUAAUGUGAAUGCACAGAAAUUACAUAAUGCACGUAAGCGGAAGUAGAUUUUUUUUUUUGUGAAAAUGUUUAUUUAUCAUUUAGGCUAAGGGAUGCCUCCCUAAAGUUGAUGCUCUAGGCACAGGUUCUUGAGUAUCUAUAUGGUAAAUACUCCCCUGGGGUAAUGGCACACCGGGGGAUUUGUUGUCCGUGGAUAAAGCUGCACUACCAUGAGCGUUAAAUUUCCCAAAAAUGCUUUCCCACUGACAAUAAUGUAAAUGGCCCUUUAGAAGUCACUUUGGCUUUCUGAAGUCCCCAGACGUUACUUUGCAAGGAAUAUUUACUUGUUUUUGGAAAACAAAGAAACGUAAGUUUUCCCACUGGGUACCACAGACAACAAAUUUCCUGUGCCAUUGCUCUUACAUUCCAAGCGUGUGCUAUACAAUACCUAUAUGCUGAUACCCCACGUCACCUGCAAAUGUAUAUGAGCAGGAAACCAGUUAUAUGCAUAGAGUAACAUAGUACCCCAUAAGUACUAUGUUACCAUAACAACAACAACUUGCCCUACUGCAGCAACCCAUAAGAUGUUUGCAUUUAUACAAGGAACUAGCAAGUACUACUUGCUGACUGUUGCUAUAGGUGAUUAGAUCACGUUUUACAUAACCAUAAAUGACUUGUCACAAGAAAGUGAGGUAGAAAAUUUCUUCUUUUCUGCUUUUUAAAACAUUAACUUUAUUAUGUGCUACGUUCCAACGGGAACUUGAACUGGAAAUGUCAACCACUGUAUUAAAGUAAUAGAUGUUUUAACACA